AGAGUUUGAUCAUGGCUCAGGACGAACGCUGGCGGCGUGCUUAACACAUGCAAGUCGAACGGAAAGGCCCUUCGGGGUGCUCGAGUGGCGAACGGGUGAGUAACACGUGGGUGAUCUGCCCUGCACUUUGGGAUAAGCCUGGGAAACUGGGUCUAAUACCGAAUAGGACUGCGCUCUUCAUGGGGUGUGGUGGAAAGCUUUUGCGGUGUGGGAUGGGCCCGCGGCCUAUCAGCUUGUUGGUGGGGUAAUGGCCUACCAAGGCGACGACGGGUAGCCGGCCUGAGAGGGUGACCGGCCACACUGGGACUGAGAUACGGCCCAGACUCCUACGGGAGGCAGCAGUGGGGAAUAUUGCACAAUGGGCGCAAGCCUGAUGCAGCGACGCCGCGUGAGGGAUGACGGCCUUCGGGUUGUAAACCUCUUUCAGCACAGACGAAGCGCGAGUGACGGUAUGUGCAGAAGAAGGACCGGCCAACUACGUGCCAGCAGCCGCGGUAAUACGUAGGGUCCGAGCGUUGUCCGGAAUUACUGGGCGUAAAGAGCUCGUAGGUGGUUUGUCGCGUUGUUCGUGAAAACUCACAGCUUAACUGUGGGCGUGCGGGCGAUACGGGCAGACUGGAGUACUGCAGGGGAGACUGGAAUUCCUGGUGUAGCGGUGGAAUGCGCAGAUAUCAGGAGGAACACCGGUGGCGAAGGCGGGUCUCUGGGCAGUAACUGACGCUGAGGAGCGAAAGCGUGGGGAGCGAACAGGAUUAGAUACCCUGGUAGUCC
RNAcentral lists this ribosomal RNA (771 nucleotides) under uncultured bacterium. Its description in RNAcentral is "bacterial SSU rRNA". It matches the Rfam family "Bacterial small subunit ribosomal RNA", at positions 8 to 796 of the family's 1533-position model. The record is from RNAcentral.